This 460-nucleotide ribosomal RNA is filed under the name uncultured bacterium. RNAcentral's name for it is "partial 16S ribosomal RNA". It matches the Rfam family "Bacterial small subunit ribosomal RNA", at positions 338 to 795 of the family's 1533-position model. The record is from RNAcentral.
CCUACGGGAGGCAGCAGUGAGGAAUAUUGGUCAAUGGACGAGAGUCUGAACCAGCCAAGUAGCGUGAAGGAUGACUGCCCUAUGGGUUGUAAACUUCUUUUAUAUGGGAAUAAAAUGUUCCACGUGUGGGAUUUUGUAUGUACCAUAUGAAUAAGGAUCGGCUAACUCCGUGCCAGCAGCCGCGGUAAUACGGAGGAUCCGAGCGUUAUCCGGAUUUAUUGGGUUUAAAGGGAGCGUAGGUGGAUUGUUAAGUCAGUUGUGAAAGUUUGCGGCUCAACCGUAAAAGUGCAGUUGAAACUGGCAGUCGUGAGUACAGUAGAGGUAGGCGGAAUGCGUGGUGUAGCGGUGAAAUGCUUAGAUAUCACGAAGAACUCCGAUUGCGAAGGCAGCUCACUGGACUGCAACUGACACUGAGGCUCGAAAGUGUGGGUAUCAAACAGGAUUAGAUACCCUAGUAGUC